GACGAACGCUGGCGGCGCGCCUAACACAUGCAAGUCGAACGAGCCUAGGGGAGCUUGCUCUCCGAAGCUAGUGGCGGACGGGUGAGUAACACGUGAGCAACCUGCCUUUCAGAGGGGGAUAACGUUUGGAAACGAACGCUAAUACCGCAUGAUAUAUUGAGGCCACAUGGUUUUGAUAUCAAAGGAGCAAUCCGCUGAGAGAUGGGCUCGCGUCCGAUUAGCUAGUUGGUGAGGUAACGGCCCACCAAGGCGACGAUCGGUAGCCGGACUGAGAGGUUGAUCGGCCACAUUGGGACUGAGACACGGGCCCAGACUCCUACGGGAGGCAGCAGUGGGGGAUAUUGCACAAUGGAGGGAACUCUGAUGCAGCGACGCCGCGUGAGGGAAGAC
RNAcentral lists this ribosomal RNA (390 nucleotides) under uncultured bacterium. Its description in RNAcentral is "bacterial SSU rRNA". It matches the Rfam family "Bacterial small subunit ribosomal RNA", at positions 28 to 412 of the family's 1533-position model. The record is from RNAcentral.